GUGGGGAAUAUUGGACAAUGGGGGGAACCCUGAUCCAGCCAUGCCGCGUGUGUGAAGAAGGCCUUUUGGUUGUAAAGCACUUUAAGCGAGGAGGAGGCUACCGAGAUUAAUACUCUUGGAUAGUGGACGUUACUCGCAGAAUAAGCACCGGCUAACUCUGUGCCAGCAGCCGCGGUAAUACAGAGGGUGCAAGCGUUAAUCGGAUUUACUGGGCGUAAAGCGCGCGUAGGUGGCCAAUUAAGUCAAAUGUGAAAUCCCCGAGCUUAACUUGGGAAUUGCAUUCGAUACUGGUUGGCUAGAGUAUGGGAGAGGAUGGUAGAAUUCCAGGUGUAGCGGUGAAAUGCGUAGAGAUCUGGAGGAAUACCGAUGGCGAAGGCAGCCAUCUGGACCAGCACUGACACUGAGGCACGAAAGCGUGGGGAGCAAACAGGAUUAGAUACCCGUGUAGUCC
RNAcentral lists this ribosomal RNA (451 nucleotides) under uncultured bacterium. RNAcentral describes it as "bacterial SSU rRNA". It matches the Rfam family "Bacterial small subunit ribosomal RNA", at positions 354 to 796 of the family's 1533-position model. The record is from RNAcentral.